CCUACGGGAGGCAGCAGUGAGGAAUAUUGGUCAAUGGGCUUACGCCUGAACCAGCCAAGUCGCGUGAGGGAAGACUGCCCUAUGGGUUGUAAACCUCUUUUGUCAGGGAGCAACGCCGGCUACGUGUAGCCGGACUGAGAGUCCCUGCAGACAAAGCAUCGGCUAACUCCUUGCCAGCAGCCGCGGUAAUACGGAGGAUGCGAGCGUUAUCCGGAUUUAUUGGGUUUAAAGGGUGCGUAGGCGGAAUGCCAAGUCAGCGGUAAAAUCGCGGGGCUCAACCUCGCUCCGCCGUUGAAACUGGCGUUCUGGAGUGGGCGAGAAGUAUGCGGAAUGCGUGGUGUAGCGGUGAAAUGCAUAGAUAUCACGCAGAACUCCGAUUGCGAAGGCAGCAUACCGGCGCCCAACUGACGCUGAAGCACGAAAGCGUGGGUAUCGAACAGGAUUAGAUACCCUGGUAGUC
RNAcentral lists this ribosomal RNA (460 nucleotides) under uncultured bacterium. RNAcentral describes it as "partial 16S ribosomal RNA". It matches the Rfam family "Bacterial small subunit ribosomal RNA", at positions 338 to 795 of the family's 1533-position model. The record is from RNAcentral.